CAGUAGCCACGGUAAUGCGUAGGUGGCAAGCGUUGUCCGGAAUUAUUGGGCGUAAAGCGCGCGCAGGUGGUUUAAUAAGUCUGAUGUGAAAGCCCACGGCUCAACCGUGGAGGGUCAUUGGAAACUGUUAAACUUGAGUGCAGGAGAGAAAAGUGGAAUUCCUAGUGUAGCGGUGAAAUGCGUAGAGAUUAGGAGGAACACCAGUGGCGAAGGCGGCUUUUUGGCCUGUAACUGACACUGAGGCGCGAAAGCGUGGGGAGCAAACAGGAUUAGAUACCCCUGUAGUCCCUGUCUCUUAUAC
This 301-nucleotide ribosomal RNA is filed under the name uncultured bacterium. RNAcentral's name for it is "partial 16S ribosomal RNA". It matches the Rfam family "Bacterial small subunit ribosomal RNA", at positions 509 to 807 of the family's 1533-position model. The record is from RNAcentral.